Molecule: long non-coding RNA, 311 nt
Filed under: Elaeis guineensis (African oil palm)
Lineage: Eukaryota; Viridiplantae; Streptophyta; Magnoliopsida; Arecales; Arecaceae
Description: long non-coding RNA (EGUI_LNC013815)
Source: RNAcentral
GGAUAAAUCUUGUUUAAAUCGAUGUAGUCAAUGUAUAUCCUUCAUUUGCUAUUAGUUUUUUUAACCAUUACUACAUUUGCCAGUCAAUUCAGAUAGUUUGCUUCUCAGCAGCUUGCAACUUAUUGACUUCUUCAUCGAUGGCCUUUUGUCUUUCAAGAGCAUAAUUUCUCUUCUUUUGACGUACCGACCUGCAGUUGGAAUCAACAUUUAAUUUAUGGACAAUUAUGUCAGAAGGAAUAACCGGCAUGUCGGAAGCCUUCCAAAUAAAGACGUUGGCAUUUUUUCAUAGAAAAUCUACAAGCUUCUCCCAA